AUUUUUUUUUCGGCCUUUUGGCUAAGAUCAAGUGUAGUAUCUGUUCUUAUCAACUUACUUCUUGACACUAACAUUCAGUUGCAUUCCCCAUGCAGUCAAAUACUGAUUAUAAAAAGCAGCCGAUAGAGACACACACCAGAGCAGUCUAUUACCUUAUUGUUUGUACUGUGACAAUACAGACUCUGA
Molecule: small nuclear RNA, 186 nt
Filed under: Ochotona princeps (American pika)
Lineage: Eukaryota; Metazoa; Chordata; Mammalia; Lagomorpha; Ochotonidae
Description: U2 spliceosomal RNA (ENSOPRG00000023231.1)
Rfam family: U2 spliceosomal RNA (bases 1-91)
Source: RNAcentral